AGAGUUUGAUCAUGGCUCAGGAUGAACGCUAGCGGCAGGCCUAAUACAUGCAAGUCGAACGGUAAAUAUUCAGCAAUGGAUAUGAGAGUGACGUACGGGUGCGUAACACGUAUGCAACCUACCCUUUACAGGAGGAUAGCUCGGGGAAACUCGGAUUAACCCUUCAUAAUAUAAUUGGAUGGCAUCAUUUGAUUAUUAAAUCUACGGAGGUAAAGGAUGGGCAUGCGUCUGAUUAGUUAGUUGGCGGUGUAACGGACCACCAAGACGAUGAUCAGUAGGGGAACUGAGAGGUUGAUCCCCCACACUGGCACUGAGAUACGGGCCAGACUCCUACGGGAGGCAGCAGUAGGGAAUAUUGGUCAAUGGAUGGAAGUCUGAACCAGCCAUGCCGCGUGCAGGAAGAAGGCCUUCUGGGUUGUAAACUGCUUUUGCCAGGGGCUAAAACGCCCAUGCGUGGGAAAUUGAAAGUACCUGGUGAAUAAGCCACGGCUAACUACGUGCCAGCAGCCGCGGUAAUACGUAGGUGGCAAGCGUUGUCCGGAUUUAUUGGGUUUAAAGGGUGCGUAGGCGGCUUUGUAAGUCAGUGGUGAAAUAUGGCAGCUCAACUGUCAAGGUGCCAUUGAUACUGCAGAGCUUGAGUACAGAUGAGGUAGGCGGAAUUGACGGUGUAGCGGUGAAAUGCUUAGAUAUCGUCAAGAACACCUAUAGCGAAGGCAGCUUACUAGGCUGUAACUGACGCUGAGGCACGAAAGUGUGGGGAUCAAACAGGAUUAGAUACCCUGGUAGUCCACACUGUAAACGUUGAUUACUCGCUGUGUGCGAUAUACAGUACGCGGCCAAGCGAAAGCGCUAAGUAAUCCACCUGGGGAGUACGCCGGCAACGGUGAAACUCAAAGGAAUUGACGG
This 906-nucleotide ribosomal RNA is filed under the name uncultured bacterium. RNAcentral describes it as "bacterial SSU rRNA". It matches the Rfam family "Bacterial small subunit ribosomal RNA", at positions 8 to 916 of the family's 1533-position model. The record is from RNAcentral.